AGAGGACCAAGGUGGAGGAACUUCUCUCACUACUUUCUCUCUAAAUGGUCAAAUUUUUUACUCACCUAGUACUGAAGCAAGUUGGCAUAACAUGUUAGCAUUCUAACCAAAACAUCUCUGAAGGAGACAAGACUGGAGACGAUAUAGGCUGACGACCAGCCUUGCAAUCAAAGACCAUAGCCCAGCUCAAAAUAAUUGUCACCUCACCAAAAGAAACCAAUUUUAUUUUUUCUAUAUUCAUCCUAAACCUAUAAAAGAAAAAAUGAAAAAGGAA
This 274-nucleotide long non-coding RNA is filed under the name Carica papaya (papaya). Its description in RNAcentral is "long non-coding RNA (CPAP_LNC008547)". Lineage: Eukaryota; Viridiplantae; Streptophyta; Magnoliopsida; Brassicales; Caricaceae. The record is from RNAcentral.